AGCAGCCGCGGUAAUUCCAGCUCCAAUAGCGUAUAUUAAAGUUGUUGCAGUUAAAAAGCUCGUAGUUGAAUUUCGGGGUCAGCAGGUUGGUCGUGCCAAUGGUAUGCACUGGCCUUGCCGAUUCCUCCCUCUUGAUGAGCCGUAAUGCCAUUAAUUUGGUGUUGCGGGGAAUCAGGACUGUUACUUUGAAAAAAUUAGAGUGUUUAAAGCAGGCAAGCGCUUGAAUACAUUAGCAUGGAAUAAUGAAAUAGGACGUUUGAUCCUAUUUUGUUGGUUUCUAGGAUUGACGUAAUGAUUAAUAGGGAUAGUUGGGGGCAUUAGUAUUCAAUUGUCAGAGGUGAAAUUCUUGGAUUUAUUGAAGACUGACUACUGCGAAAGCAAUUUGCCAAGGAUGUUUUCAUUAAUCAAGAACGAAAGUUAGGGGAUCGAAGACGAUCAGAUACCGUCGUAGUCUUAACCAUAAACUAUGCCGACUAGGGAUCGGAUGAUGUUAAUUUUUAAUGACUCAUUC
RNAcentral lists this ribosomal RNA (511 nucleotides) under uncultured Glomeromycotina. RNAcentral's name for it is "SSU rRNA". It matches the Rfam family "Eukaryotic small subunit ribosomal RNA", at positions 569 to 1081 of the family's 1831-position model. The record is from RNAcentral. Lineage: Eukaryota; Fungi; Glomeromycota.